This 289-nucleotide unclassified non-coding RNA is filed under the name uncultured Glomeraceae. RNAcentral's name for it is "sequence contains 5.8S rRNA gene". The stretch from base 1 to 53 matches the Rfam family "5.8S ribosomal RNA", at positions 102 to 154 of the family's 154-position model. The record is from RNAcentral. Lineage: Eukaryota; Fungi; Glomeromycota; Glomeromycetes; Glomerales; Glomeraceae.
GAACGCAUAUUGCACUCUCUGGUAUUCCGGAGAGUAUGCCUGUUUGAGGGUCUGUUAAAUAAAAAUCGGGGUUGUUGCUGCUUUUUGUGGUGACGCUUCGGAAUUGGGUAGUCUUACCUUCGGGUUUAAGUGACCUAAAAUUUUUACAUGAUUUUUCGAACGUAUUUAAAUCUUUUACGUACGUUUGGUUAUAUCGAAUAUAUUAGGUGUGGUCAUCCUCAUGAUUCACGUCUAUAAUUUUUUUCAUUUUUAGACCUCAAAUCAGGUAAGAACACCCGCUGAACUUAAG